AGAGUUUGAUCAUGGCUCAGAUUGAACGCUGGCGGCAGGCCUAACACAUGCAAGUCGAACGGUAACAGGAAGAAGCUUGCUUCUUUGCUGACGAGUGGCGGACGGGUGAGUAAUGUCUGGGAAACUGCCUGAUGGAGGGGGAUAACUACUGGAAACGGUAGCUAAUACCGCAUAACGUCGCAAGACCAAAGAGGGGGACCUUCGGGCCUCUUGCCAUCGGAUGUGCCCAGAUGGGAUUAGCUAGUAGGUGGGGUAACGGCUCACCUAGGCGACGAUCCCUAGCUGGUCUGAGAGGAUGACCAGCCACACUGGAACUGAGACACGGUCCAGACUCCUACGGGAGGCAGCAGUGGGGAAUAUUGCACAAUGGGCGCAAGCCUGAUGCAGCCAUGCCGCGUGUAUGAAGAAGGCCUUCGGGUUGUAAAGUACUUUCAGCGGGGAGGAAGGGAGUAAAGUUAAUACCUUUGCUCAUUGACGUUACCCGCAGAAGAAGCACCGGCUAACUCCGUGCCAGCAGCCGCGGUAAU
Molecule: ribosomal RNA, 527 nt
Filed under: uncultured bacterium
Lineage: Bacteria
Description: bacterial SSU rRNA
Rfam family: Bacterial small subunit ribosomal RNA
Source: RNAcentral